Molecule: transfer RNA, 488 nt
Filed under: uncultured Synechococcus sp.
Lineage: Bacteria; Bacillati; Cyanobacteriota; Cyanophyceae; Synechococcales; Synechococcaceae
Description: partial 16S-23S ribosomal RNA intergenic spacer
Rfam family: tRNA (bases 274-346)
Source: RNAcentral
CAGGGAGACAAACAACGAUUUUGAUGCCUGAGUAUUUUUAUUCUUAGGCCGAAAUCCUGUCACCUUAGGUCGAUCGGUACCUCAACUUCAAUCCUGUGAGUCGCAAGACUGCACAACGAUUGAUUUUUAGUUCCUAAACGUUGUCUAGGUCACCCCAUAGAGGGUUCACUUCCUGGGCCAUUAUCUCAGGUGGUUAGAGCGCACCCCUGAUAAGGGUGAGGUCCCUGGUUCAAGUCCAGGAUGGCCCAUUCCAGACUCCAUUUUGGAUCCUUUGGGGGUUUAGCUCAGUUGGUAGAGCGCCUGCUUUGCAAGCAGGAUGUCAGCGUGUCGAGUCCGCUAACCUCCGCUAACGUAUGUGAACUCCAAAGCGACGAAGAAGCUUCUGGUUGGUGACUAGACCUUGUUCGCUGAAUGAUUCCCUCGGAUAGCCCUCGAUAGGCGCCGCGACGCAUUCGAAUGACCGGGGGGGUGUGAUUUGCUCCACUGAU